GUAAUAGCUCACUGGUCGAGUCGGCCUGCGCGGAAGAUGUAACGGGGCUAAACCAUGCACCGAAGCUGCGGCAGCGACGCUGAUGCGUUGUUGGGUAGGGGAGCGUUCUGUAAGCCUGUGAAGGUGUGCUGUGAGGUAUGCUGGAGGUAUCAGAAGUGCGAAUGCUGACAUAAGUAACGAUAAAGCGGGUGAAAAGCCCGCUCGCCGGAAGACCAAGGGUUCCUGUCCAACGUUAAUCGGGGCAGGGUGAGUCGACCCCUAAGG
This 264-nucleotide ribosomal RNA is filed under the name Escherichia coli. RNAcentral's name for it is "partial 23S ribosomal RNA". It matches the Rfam family "Bacterial large subunit ribosomal RNA", at positions 1134 to 1396 of the family's 2925-position model. Lineage: Bacteria; Pseudomonadati; Pseudomonadota; Gammaproteobacteria; Enterobacterales; Enterobacteriaceae. The record is from RNAcentral.